AUUAGGAAUCUUGCGCAAUGGGCUAAGCGCCUGACGCAGCGACGCCGCGUGGAGGAGGACGGCCUUCGGGUUGUAAACUCCUUUUGUCACGGAAGAAACAGAUGACGGUACGUGACGAAUAAGCCCCGGCUAACUCCGUGCCAGCAGCCGCGGUAAUACGGAGGGGGCGAGCGUUGUCCGAAGUUACUGGGCGUAAAGGGCGCGUAGGCGGGAAGCUAAGUCCGCUGUCAAAGCCCGGGGCUUAACCCCGGAAGGUCGGUGGAGACUGGUUUUCUUGAAGCUGCCAGGGGGAGAUGGAAUUACCGGUGUAGCGGUGAAAUGCGUAGAUAUCGGUAGGAACACCAGUGGCGAAGGCGGUCUCCUGGAGCAGACUUGACGCUGAGGCGCGAAAGCUGGGGGAGCGAACG
This 407-nucleotide ribosomal RNA is filed under the name uncultured Chthonomonas sp. RNAcentral's name for it is "bacterial SSU rRNA". It matches the Rfam family "Bacterial small subunit ribosomal RNA", at positions 354 to 774 of the family's 1533-position model. Lineage: Bacteria; Bacillati; Armatimonadota; Chthonomonadia; Chthonomonadales; Chthonomonadaceae. The record is from RNAcentral.